Molecule: ribosomal RNA, 36 nt
Filed under: Trichosporon asahii
Lineage: Eukaryota; Fungi; Basidiomycota; Tremellomycetes; Trichosporonales; Trichosporonaceae
Description: partial 26S ribosomal RNA
Source: RNAcentral
UUGACUCUGGCCUGAAAUCAGGUAGGACUACCCGCU